RNAcentral lists this ribosomal RNA (406 nucleotides) under uncultured bacterium. RNAcentral's name for it is "partial 16S ribosomal RNA". It matches the Rfam family "Bacterial small subunit ribosomal RNA", at positions 30 to 526 of the family's 1533-position model. The record is from RNAcentral.
AUUGAACGCUGGCGGCAGGCCUAACACAUGCAAGUAGAACGAGCGGCGGACGGGUGAGUAAUUUCCGGGAAACUGCCUGAUGGAGGGGGAUAACUACUGGAAACGGUAGCUAAUACCGCAUACCAUCAGAUGUGCCCAGAGGGGAGUAGCUUGUUGGUGGGGUAACGGCUCACCAAGGCGACGAUCCCUAGCUGGUCUGAGAGGACGACCAGCCACCCUAGAGCUGAGACACGGUCCAUACUCCUACGGGAGGCAGCAGAGGGGAAUAUUGCACAAUGGGCGCAAGCCUGAUGCAGCCAUGCCGCUUGUAUGAAGAAGGCAUUCGGUUUGUAAUGUACUUUCAGCGGGGAGGCGUUACCCGCAGAAGAAGCACCGGCUAACUCCGUACCAGCAGCCGCGGUAAUAC